This 2167-nucleotide long non-coding RNA is filed under the name Homo sapiens (human). Its description in RNAcentral is "HSALNT0191350". Lineage: Eukaryota; Metazoa; Chordata; Mammalia; Primates; Hominidae. The record is from RNAcentral.
UAUACCGCUUCUACUUUGGGUCUGUUGACUUUUUUGGAUCUCUGGAUUGACAGUUUUUAUCAAAUUUAGAAAGUACUUGACCAUCUUUCAAAUAUUUUUGCUCACCUAUCUUUUGCUAGGAUUUCAUUUGCAUAUACGUUAGACCACUUGAUAUUGCCCCUUGGCUCAAUUCACUUAUAUUUGGUCUUUUUUCUGUAUACUUCAUUUUGCAUAGUUUCUAUUGUUCUUACCCAAGUUCACUGAUUGUUUCCUCUGCAAUGUUUAAUGGGCUCUUAAUCCCAUCCGGUUAUUUUUCAUUUAAUAAAUUAUAUUUUUAUCUCUAAAAAUUUUAUUAACAUAUUUUAUGUCUUCCAUUUCUCUCCUCCUUAUGUUCACAUUUUCCUUUAAUUCACUUGUGUAUUUUUUAAAUUUAUAGUAGCUGUUUUAAUGUUUUUGCUCGCCAAUUACAUCACUUCUGUCGUUUCUUGUCCCAUUUCUAUUGACUAAUUUUUAUCCUAGUUAUGGAUCAUAUUUUCUGCUUCUUUGCAGGCUGAGCCAUUUUUUGUUAGAUGCUGGACAUUGUGAACUUUACAUUGUGAAGUACUGAAUUUUUUAUUCCUAUGGAGUAUGCAACUUUAUUCUGGAAGGUAAUUAAGUGACUUUUGGAUCAACUUCAUCUUUUCAAGGUUUGAUUUUACGUGUUUUAAGGUAAGUAGAGGUAGCCUUUACUGUAGAACUAGUUUAGCUCUACUAUUAAGCUGAAACCCUCUGGGAUCUCUACUCAAUGGCCCAUUUAUUCAAUGAGGUCUCUCUACUUUCUCUGAUGGGCACUAAAAUGAUCCCCAGGCUUUUGGGAGUUCUAAAAAUUUUCUACAUUACAGCACCUCUGUAAAUGUUCAUUCCACAGCAUUUGUUCUUUGCCCAGCCUCAUGGAGUUUCACCCUUCAGGCACACAGAUUUGAAUUUAGUCUCAAAGACUCAAGGGAGGAAACCCUAUGCAAAUUUCUGGAGUUCUUUUUCUAGCUCCUUUCUCUCCUUUUUACUGUCCCACAAAUUUUAGCUGCUUCGGAACCCCUGAACUUCAAUUACUAUCAUCCCAUCUUAAUGAGACCUUCCUACACUGUGGUUAGAAAUUGUCCCCAGACAGAAAGCCAGUGCAGUUAAAAUGCUCAUCUAGAUUAUUUCCCUUCACUCAAAGAUCACAGUCCUGUGCUGCCUGUUGUCCAUUUGUUUAAUUCCACCCUCUCCACCCUGUUUCUUGUUGUCUACAGUAGGAGGGAGAGGAGUCCCAGAGUAGUUACUUCUUUAAGCAUGAAAGCAAAAGUCUAGCUUUGACUUAAUAAUCAAACUGAUUCUUUGUAGCAGUCCCUGAAAUUCUUGAACUUACAGAGUCAGUGAUUGAAAAUGGUUGAUGAAACUUCCUUUGCUUUUGAACAUGAAAGAAAGCGCAUGAGGAUGGAGGCAGUAAGAUGCUAUAUUAAUGCUGUCAAGCCCAUAGUUCAUGGCAAUAGUCUUUCUAAUGAAAAUCAUGCCGGGGGUAUUAUUAUAAGGCCAUAAUAUCAAUUUAUUUAUUUAUUUGUUAAUUGACAAAUUAACAUAUUUAAUUUCCCUUUUUCCACAGAGCAUCAUAAGGGGUCCUAUUGGGGAAGAGAAGAAUCGUUGAGUUUCAGCCAAGCUUUAUCUCCUUAUUGAAUCAUAAAAAAUAAUACAGCUGGCCUGGCGCAGUGGCUUAUGCCUAUAAUCCCAGCACUUUGGGAGGCCGAAGCGGGUGGAUCACUUGAGGUCAGGAGUUUGAGACCAGCCUGGCCCACAUGGUAAAACGCUGUUUCUACUAAAAAUACAAAAAUUACCCAGGUGUGAUGGCGGGGGCCUGUAAUCCCAGCUACUUGAGGGGCUGAAGCAGGAGAAUUGCUUGAACCCAGGAGGUGGAGGUUGCAGUGAGCUGAGAUCGUGCCACUGCACUCCAGCCAGAGCAACAGAACGAGACUCCGUCUCAAAAAAUAAUAAUAAUAUAGCUCAUAAAAUCUAUGCCUGGAGAGAUUUUCGUGUUUGCUGCUGUAAAAGUGACAACAAAUAAUAUACCCAUUAUUAAUAAAUGGUUUUCAGUUAUUUAUUGAUUUAACAAACUAUUUUUUAAUGCCUACAAUGUGCCAGGCACUAUAGUAGGCACUGGACAUACAAAUAUAGA